Molecule: long non-coding RNA, 829 nt
Filed under: Theropithecus gelada (gelada)
Lineage: Eukaryota; Metazoa; Chordata; Mammalia; Primates; Cercopithecidae
Description: lncRNA (ENSTGEG00000017954.1)
Source: RNAcentral
CUUAGAGGAAACCACCUCGUGAUCACCCGCAUGGAAUCUCGGGCUGAGCAAUGUGGUUUGCAGAUCCCGGAGCAGGAGCCUGUGAAAUCUGGGAAGCAGGCGUGUGCUGUGUGCAGAGGCAUUCCAAUAAUAGUUUCAGAUGCAGAGGACGGAAGUUUAUCAAGAUGAGAGUCUGCUGAGCCCAGCGCUGCGGUUCUGAGAAGCGAGAGUCAGCUGCCUUCUCCGAUGGGGCCUCCACAGCUUCAGAGUUCAUGCAGUUGUCUGUCUGCAAGAACGGCUGGAGGGGAAGAAUCCUGGGUUGGAGGGCGCAGCACUCUUGCUGAGACCCUGGCCCUCAGUAAAAGGGCAUCUUGAUCUCUAAAGGAGCUGUUUCUGCCAAAGGAGGGUGUCACUUGGGAAAACCACACUGUGUGACCUGACUCCCAACCACAGACGCUUCUACAUAGAAGUAUUCAGAUAAUGGGUGGCAUUGAAGGAGAAAGCCAUGGAGAGCCACAUGCAGCCUCCAGGCUGGAGACUGGAGAAUGCUUACAACUAAAGAAAGAAGCUCUAACAGAUGUCUCAGCAGUCAGACAAUGGUGUACUGGAGAGCUUUAUGUCCAUUUUGUGCCAGAGAAAGCUGAGGCUUCAUGGAAGAAGAUAAUGACCUGAAGCCCAUGUAGCUGUCCAGAGCUGAAAUCAAUGCCAAGCAAGCUCAAAGGUUUGGGCCUCAUGAUUAGACACCCCACUUCGCUUUGCUUACCUGCCAAAUCCUGUAAGUGUGAGCUACACUUCGUGUUUGUUUCCCAUAAAUACAUCCUUAUUGAUAAUGUCAAUAAAGUAAAUUUCA